ACUGUAGUUCAGUUGGUAGAAUACCUACACGUACUCUUAUCGCUUGUUGCCUUGUUAGUUUAAUUAAAAUUUCAGUAAGUGCCGUAGACUAGAGUUACUUCGACUGUGAUUCUGGCGGUCGCCGGUUCGAAUCCGGCCAUCAGUG
Molecule: transfer RNA, 145 nt
Filed under: Spirosoma foliorum
Lineage: Bacteria; Pseudomonadati; Bacteroidota; Cytophagia; Cytophagales; Cytophagaceae
Description: Spirosoma sp. KCTC 72228 tRNA-OTHER
Source: RNAcentral